RNAcentral lists this unclassified non-coding RNA (248 nucleotides) under Hevea brasiliensis (rubber tree). The record is from RNAcentral. Lineage: Eukaryota; Viridiplantae; Streptophyta; Magnoliopsida; Malpighiales; Euphorbiaceae.
GUUUUUGAUUUUCCGGGUUUCAGUUGUGAUACGGUAGUCGUUGUCCAUACUGUGGGCUCAUCCGAGGGACACGUGUUGGGUGAUUUGGGAUUGUUCCUGAGGAUAUUUUGAGACGGCUGCCACGUUGGCUUUGUGAGACCACAACUUGAGACCUCGUGGUUGGGACAGUGACACGUGGAACUUUGAAGAGAAUAUUCGUUUUGUGGCUUUAAACUUUGCUUUGGCUGUGCCUGUCUGGCCGGCUUAGC